AUUGAACGCUGGCGGCAGGCCUAACACAUGCAAGUCGAGCGGAUGAAGGGAGCUUGCUCCUGGAUUCAGCGGCGGACGGGUGAGUAAUGCCUAGGAAUCUGCCUGGUAGUGGGGGAUAACGUCCGGAAACGGGCGCUAAUACCGCAUACGUCCUGAGGGAGAAAGUGGGGGAUCUUCGGACCUCACGCUAUCAGAUGAGCCUAGGUCGGAUUAGCUAGUUGGUGGGGUAAAGGCCUACCAAGGCGACGAUCCGUAACUGGUCUGAGAGGAUGAUCAGUCACACUGGAACUGAGACACGGUCCGGACCCCUACGGGAGGCAGCAGGGGGGAAUUUUGGACAAUGGGCGAAAGCCUGAACCAGCCAUGCCGGGGGUGUGAAGAAGGUCUUCGGAUUGUAAAGCACUUUAAGGUGGGAGGAAGGGCAGGAAGUUAAUACCUUGCUGUUUGGACGUUCCCAACAGAAGAAGCCCCGGCUAACUUCGU
RNAcentral lists this ribosomal RNA (483 nucleotides) under uncultured bacterium. RNAcentral's name for it is "partial 16S ribosomal RNA". It matches the Rfam family "Bacterial small subunit ribosomal RNA", at positions 30 to 506 of the family's 1533-position model. The record is from RNAcentral.